This 18-nucleotide small nuclear RNA is filed under the name Arabidopsis thaliana (thale cress). RNAcentral's name for it is "snRNA_12828". Lineage: Eukaryota; Viridiplantae; Streptophyta; Magnoliopsida; Brassicales; Brassicaceae. The record is from RNAcentral.
AUUAAGACAGCAGGACGG